CCUACGGGAGGCAGCAGUAGGGAAUCUUCCACAAUGGGCGAAAGCCUGAUGGAGCAACGCCGCGUGGGUGAAGAAGGUCUUCGGAUCGUAAAACCCUGUUGUUAGAGAAGAAAGUGCGUGAGAGUAACUGUUCACGUUUCGACGGUAUCUAACCAGAAAGCCACGGCUAACUACGUGCCAGCAGCCGCGGUAAUACGUAGGUGGCAAGCGUUAUCCGGGUUUAUUGGGCGUAAAGGGAACGCAGGCGGUCUUUUAAGUCUGAUGGGAAAGCCUUCGGCUUAACCGGAGUAGUGCAUUGGAAACUGGGAGACUUGAGUGCAGAAGAGGAGAGUGGAACUCCAUGUGUAGCGGUGAAAUGCGUAGAUAUAUGGAAGAACACCAGGGGCGAAGGCGGCUCUCUGGUCUGUAACUGACGCUGAGGUUCGAAAGCGUGGGUAGCAAACAGGAUUAGAUACCCGAGUAGUC
This 465-nucleotide ribosomal RNA is filed under the name uncultured bacterium. RNAcentral's name for it is "partial 16S ribosomal RNA". It matches the Rfam family "Bacterial small subunit ribosomal RNA", at positions 338 to 795 of the family's 1533-position model. The record is from RNAcentral.